RNAcentral lists this non-coding RNA (30 nucleotides) under Rattus norvegicus (Norway rat). The record is from RNAcentral. Lineage: Eukaryota; Metazoa; Chordata; Mammalia; Rodentia; Muridae.
GACUAAUCAGCUAUGUGUGGAGACCCUUCU